RNAcentral lists this ribosomal RNA (472 nucleotides) under uncultured bacterium. Its description in RNAcentral is "SSU rRNA". It matches the Rfam family "Bacterial small subunit ribosomal RNA", at positions 26 to 518 of the family's 1533-position model. The record is from RNAcentral.
AGGAUAAACGCUGGCGGCGUGCCUAACACAUGCAAGUCGAACGUCUCUUCUUUCGGGAAGAGGAGUGGCGGACGGGUGAGGAACACGUGGGAACCUGCCCUUCAGUGAGGAAUACCGGCGAGAAAUCGCCGACAAGACCGCAUAGCCCUCUCUGGUGAGAGCCAGAGAAGGAAAGCCUCGCAAGAGGCGCUGGAGGAGGGGCCUGCGUCCGAUUAGCUAGUUGGUGGGGUAAGAGCCUACCAAGGCGUCGAUCGGUAGCUGGUCUGAGAGGACGAUCAGCCACACUGGGAUUGAGAACGGCCCAGACUCCUACGGGGGGCAGCAGUGAGGAAUUUUCGGCAAUGGGGGAAACCCUGACCGAGCAACGCCGCGUGCAGGAGAAGGCCUUCGGGUUGUAAACUGCUUUUCUUUGGGACGUAGCAAGGACGGUACCAGAGGAAUCAGCCCCGGCUCACUACGUGCCAGCAGCCGC